UGGGGAAUAUUGCACAAUGGGCGCAAGCCUGAUGCAGCCAUGCCGCGUGUAUGAAGAAGGCCUUCGGGUUGUAAAGUACUUUCAGCGGGGAGGAAGGGAGUAAAGUUAAUACCUUUGCUCAUUGACGUUACCCGCAGAAGAAGCACCGGCUAACUCCGUGCCAGCAGCCGCGGUAAUACGGAGGGUGCAAGCGUUAAUCGGAAUUACUGGGCGUAAAGCGCACGCAGGCGGUUUGUUAAGUCAGAUGUGAAAUCCCCGGGCUCAACCUGGGAACUGCAUCUGAUACUGGCAAGCUUGAGUCUCGUAGAGGGGGGUAGAAUUCCAGGAGUAGCGGUGAAAUGCGUAGAGAUCUGGAGGAAUACCGGUGGCGAAGGCGGCCCCCUGGACGAAGACUGACGCUCAGGUGCGAAAGCGUGGGGAGCAAACAGG
Molecule: ribosomal RNA, 429 nt
Filed under: Chloroflexota bacterium
Lineage: Bacteria; Bacillati; Chloroflexota
Description: Chloroflexi bacterium partial 16S ribosomal RNA
Rfam family: Bacterial small subunit ribosomal RNA
Source: RNAcentral